CCGCGUCGCUCCGGACGUCCACAGUGCGCACACCUGAUCCCUGGAUCACCUGAGGUAGUCCGCUAAACAGAGGCGCAGGAUUCAUGUGGAAAACACGCCGAUGUUUGGGCAAGAAGUGUCGGAAUAAAUGAGCUGAACAGAUCCGGUUCCCCUCGGAAUGCCGACAGGCACAGUAUCGGCUGCUACUCUGGCACACCUUGCCACACACUCCAACCAAAAAAUUCAGGGCAGACCCUGUAGAGAUGGAUAAAAUAUGGAUAAUUUUGUCCUGAAGAAGCUAAACAAGAGAACUUGGAGGUUCUUAUACCAGCUUUUACCAAGUUCUUUACAGGUUGGGACCAACAUAGUUAGAUUCUUGUGAGAGGCUAAGGUGACAAAACCAUUCCCUUUUGUCCUUGGCUUGGAAGAUCUGUGCCAUCAAGCCUUCAUCUUUUUUGACAGACAGUCACUUCAGCAAUACACCCUUAUUGGUGCUGUUGACAUGUUUUAAACUUUUUUUUAUGUUUUGGACAUUAAUUUUACCAAGCAGUGCACACCAGUGUGGGUGUUUUUGCAGACCGUCGUUUACAAAUUUCCAAGAACGAAGUCCCCUAAGAAGUCUGUGUAGUUAUUUGUCAUGCUAAAGUGAUCAAUUUUGUUGAUCAUUUGUUGCCUGUUUGUGCAACUUUCUUAUUUGUUACAUUAACCGUUUCUUAUUACAAGGUUCUCUUGUCUAUUGAUAACAUAUCCAACAUUAAAUUUACAAAUGAUUAAACCAAUGUGUACGUGACAUUUGUCCUUUAGAAACUGUCGGGGCUUUUUUCUGUGAUAACC
Molecule: long non-coding RNA, 813 nt
Organism: Paramisgurnus dabryanus
Lineage: Eukaryota; Metazoa; Chordata; Actinopteri; Cypriniformes; Cobitidae
Source: RefSeq, a predicted model, not a curated record